GAUGAACGCUGGCGGCGUGCCUAAUACAUGCAAGUCGAGCGAACGGACGAGAAGCUUGCUUCUCUGAUGUUAGCGGCGGACGGGUGAGUAACACGUGGAUAACCUACCUAUAAGACUGGGAUAACUUCGGGAAACCGGAGCUAAUACCGGAUAAUAUUUUGAACCGCAUGGUUCAAAAGUGAAAGACGGUCUUGCUGUCACUUAUAGAUGGAUCCGCGCUGCAUUAGCUAGUUGGUAAGGUAACGGCUUACCAAGGCAACGAUGCAUAGCCGACCUGAGAGGGUGAUCGGCCACACUGGAACUGAGACACGGUCCAGACUCCUACGGGAGGCAGCAGUAGGGAAUCUUCCGCAAUGGGCGAAAGCCUGACGGAGCAACGCCGCGUGAGUGAUGAAGGUCUUCGGAUCGUNAAACUCUGUUAUUAGGGAAGAACAUAUGUGUAAGUAACUGUGCACAUCUUGACGGUACCUAAUCAGAAAGCCACGGCUAACUACGUGCCAGCAGCCGCGGUAAUACGUAGGUGGCAAGCGUUAUCCGGAAUUAUUGGGCGUAAAGCGCGCGUAGCGGUUUUUUAGUCUGAUGUGAAAGCCCACGGCUCAACCGUGGAGGGUCAUUGGAAACUGGAAAACUUGAGUGCAGAAGAGGAAAGUGGAAUUCCAUGUGUAGCGGUGAAAUGCGCAGAGAUAUGGAGGAACACCAGUGGCGAAGGCGACUUUCUGGUCUGUAACUGACGCUGAUGUGCGAAAGCGUGGGGAUCAAACAGGAUUAGAUACCCUGGUAGUCCACGCCGUAAACGAUGAGUGCUAAGUGUUAGGGGGUUUCCGCCCCUUAGUGCUGCAGCUAACGCAUUAAGCACUCCGCCUGGGGAGUACGACCGCAAGGUUGAAACUCAAAGGAAUUGACGGGGACCCGCACAAGCGGUGGAGCAUGUGGUUUAAUUCGAAGCAACGCGAAGAACCUUACCAAAUCUUGACAUCCUUUGACAACUCUAGAGAUAGAGCCUUCCCCUUCGGGGGACAAAGUGACAGGUGGUGCAUGGUUGUCGUCAGCUCGUGUCGUGAGAUGUUGGGUUAAGUCCCGCAACGAGCGCAACCCUUAAGCUUAGUUGCCAUCAUUAAGUUGGGCACUCUAAGUUGACUGCCGGUGACAAACCGGAGGAAGGUGGGGAUGACGUCAAAUCAUCAUGCCCCUUAUGAUUUGGGCUACACACGUGCUACAAUGGACAAUACAAAGGGCAGCGAAACCGCGAGGUCAAGCAAAUCCCAUAAAGUUGUUCUCAGUUCGGAUUGUAGUCUGCAACUCGACUACAUGAAGCUGGAAUCGCUAGUAAUCGUAGAUCAGCAUGCUACGGUGAAUACGUUCCCGGGUCU
Molecule: ribosomal RNA, 1370 nt
Filed under: uncultured bacterium
Lineage: Bacteria
Description: bacterial SSU rRNA
Rfam family: Bacterial small subunit ribosomal RNA
Source: RNAcentral